This is a non-coding RNA of Rhamnusium bicolor, 81 nucleotides long. The record is from the annotation of a GenBank genome assembly. Lineage: Eukaryota; Metazoa; Arthropoda; Insecta; Coleoptera; Cerambycidae.
GCCUUGGUAGCCAAAUGGGUAAAGCACUUAUAGCAAUUUACUCGGAAUCGAAGGUCGAUGGUUCGAUUUCAUCCUAGAGCA